Juglans microcarpa x Juglans regia is the source of this 119-nucleotide long non-coding RNA. RefSeq lists it as uncharacterized. Lineage: Eukaryota; Viridiplantae; Streptophyta; Magnoliopsida; Fagales; Juglandaceae. The record is from RefSeq and is a predicted model, not a curated record. The transcript is spliced from 3 exons.
AGAAAGGGAUGAUUCAUUUUUAUGAUAAAAAAAUACAUCCAUUUCAAUUUUUUCGCAAGAAGAAAAAGAAAAAACAGGGGAUCCGUUGAAUUCCAAGUAGUUAGUUUCACCAAUAAACU